RNAcentral lists this ribosomal RNA (560 nucleotides) under Saccharomyces cerevisiae (brewer's yeast). Its description in RNAcentral is "LSU rRNA". It matches the Rfam family "Eukaryotic large subunit ribosomal RNA", at positions 95 to 669 of the family's 3401-position model. Lineage: Eukaryota; Fungi; Ascomycota; Saccharomycetes; Saccharomycetales; Saccharomycetaceae. The record is from RNAcentral.
GAAGCGGCAAAAGCUCAAAUUUGAAAUCUGGUACCUUCGGUGCCCGAGUUGUAAUUUGGAGAGGGCAACUUUGGGGCCGUUCCUUGUCUAUGUUCCUUGGAACAGGACGUCAUAGAGGGUGAGAAUCCCGUGUGGCGAGGAGUGCGGUUCUUUGUAAAGUGCCUUCGAAGAGUCGAGUUGUUUGGGAAUGCAGCUCUAAGUGGGUGGUAAAUUCCAUCUAAAGCUAAAUAUUGGCGAGAGACCGAUAGCGAACAAGUACAGUGAUGGAAAGAUGAAAAGAACUUUGAAAAGAGAGUGAAAAAGUACGUGAAAUUGUUGAAAGGGAAGGGCAUUUGAUCAGACAUGGUGUUUUGUGCCCUCUGCUCCUUGUGGGUAGGGGAAUCUCGCAUUUCACUGGGCCAGCAUCAGUUUUGGUGGCAGGAUAAAUCCAUAGGAAUGUAGCUUGCCUCGGUAAGUAUUAUAGCCUGUGGGAAUACUGCCAGCUGGGACUGAGGACUGCGACGUAAGUCAAGGAUGCUGGCAUAAUGGUUAUAUGCCGCCCGUCUUGAAACACGGACCAA